This 528-nucleotide long non-coding RNA is filed under the name Homo sapiens (human). RNAcentral describes it as "HSALNT0202937". Lineage: Eukaryota; Metazoa; Chordata; Mammalia; Primates; Hominidae. The record is from RNAcentral.
GAGGAUCUCAUGUAUCCGAGUGGAAACACUUACAUUAAUUGUAAUACAACAUCAGUUGAAAUUGGGACACAGACACAAAGAGAAAACAAUGUCAUGUGAAGACAGAGGCAAAGAGUGGAGUGACAGAUGUACAAGCGAAGAACCUCAAGAGCGCCGGCAGUUACCAGAAGCUUAGAGUUAGGGAAGGAUCAUCAUCUGAAGCAAGUCCUGGCCUGUCAACAUGUUGAUUUCAGACUACUAGACUCCAGAAAAGUAAGAUAAAAAAUCUUUAAUAUUUGAAGGUGCCCAAUUUGUGGUAAUUUGUUCCUGCAGCCUGAGCAAACUAACAAGCUCACUUUCAGUUCAAUUUCAUGGAAGAAUAGAACAAUCUUUUGGUCCCAUAACACAACUCCUCAGUGGAGAACUCUGAGUGAUUUUAAAAAGACAUACCAAAUAUUGUCCCUUUUAUGCUCAAAAUGAUCCAGUAUUUCUAUGUCAUUCUUAAAAUAAAAACUAAUAUAAUGUCUACAGGCUUAUAUUUGAUCUGGU